GUAGAUGGUCUGUGCCCAACACAACCCCACCCCCCAACUGCACCCUGCCAGGCUUGGCAGGAGGCCUGGCACUGGGGCUGGCAUCAACUGGGCCCAGAAGGAGGUCAUGGAGGCCUCGCUUACGCUUGUUUCCCAUAAUUCUGGCUGCUUCCAGUCCCUUUCCUCUCCAGACACUGACGCAGAGCCUACCAACACGCUGAGGCCCCCUUUCUCAGCUUCCUGCUCGGCCACCGUAUCUUCUCAUUUCCUGUUUACCCAUCUCCCCUUUGGAAUUGCCUUGAGUUCCACGGGUGUGACAUCAACAGGCCUGGAAUGCCAUCCCCAGUCGCCACGCGAUCACCAAGACCACCACUGUCGUGCUUCUCCAUCCUUGCCCCCCCACCCCUUGUCACAGCUGUCUCCUCCCUGGGGUUCCAGGAGGCCCGGGCUGCUUCCUUCCCUUGAAAAUCCAUGUUGUCACAAUUGGGACUGUCGCUCUUUUUGAUGCUCAAAAUAACCUCGAAGACCAGUUGCAGCCAAACAGUCCCCCUGGGCACAGAUGGGGAGACUGAGCCAGGCCUGCUCCUGACCUCCUGACCUCGGGACAGCUGGGCCUGGGGACAGUGGCCCGGGACAGGGCACUGGAGGGUGCAAAGGCGUUCUGGUUGUACUCCUGGUUACACUGGUGUCUCUCAUCGGAAUCGUGGACCCAGGCCUGGGGAGGAGGUCUGGCAGAGCCCUCAAGGCCACUGCGGCAGCAAGGCCCAAAGGCUUCUCUGCUUUUCUGGGCCCCAACUUGGCCAUCGUCUGCCUGGGGUCCCUCCGCCCUUCUCUAGGCGGUCCCUUGGGCCUCUGUGCCCAGCCCCUUUCUCCUGGCCUGUGGUCAGCAUCUCAUGGGGACCUGUGGCAUGUUGACCCCCCAGUGUGAACCCUGGGAGAGGAGGGUGGCGACCACCACUUUCUCCUGCAUGUGCUGCUGUGUGUUGCAGCCGGACAGGGCUGGUGGCCGCCAUGCAGGCCAGAAGCACCAGUCCUACCUACUCUGUGCCCUCUGCCUGCAGCUGGCAACUGCCUGGGAAGUCCUGGAGGGAGGACAGGGCUAGCACACCGGCAGUACAUCUUGCCCCGGGGGCCAUGCACGGCUGCUCACGAGGCUAGAGCGUGGGGCAGCACACGCCCCAGAAGACACCAGCACCUGGGGGUGGUUGUGAAGAGUCGUGGCUGCAAAAAUGAGUCUGUUUGCAGGCAUCAUGGCGUAUGGUGGUGGGUCUGUCUACCACCAACUGGGAGCCCCUCCCCUCCUGAGGGCUUGGUGCGGUUCUGGCCUGUGGCAGAGGAACCCCCGACGACCUGCAGCCAGAAAGAGGGGUGGGAAGGAGAUGAUGAAGGGGAGUGAACUGAGACCCUGAGUCCUUGCCCUCACCCAAGUAUGACCAGUCGCCAGAGACCCAGGAAACCAGAUGACGGAUGUGUGCUCUGAGGGCUCUGGUCGCCGCCUUCUCACCUGGGCAUGACAGCCAGUGCACCUGUGCCACCAACCCACUCUGCCCUCCCCGGCUGGUGCCCGGGCCCCAAGGCCAGCAUGCACCAGGCAGGGUGCCACCAGCAGGGCAGGUACCAGGGCCACGGAGGGCCUUGGCCUGCGCAGCUGGGCAGUGGGCACCAGAGCCCUCGCUGCGUCCUGUUGAUUCUGGGAGGGUUUUCCGAUCUCUCUGGCCUGAUGCUCGCAUGGCCAGCCGGGGAGCUGGGAUGCAGUGGAGAGGUGGAGCCAGCCUUUGCAACCCCAAGCCCCGGCCCUCGCUGGCAGAGAGGUGGCCGUGGGGGAGGGGCAGGAGCUUCCCUCCGCUGUCUGGCGGGCCGCCUCCAGAUCUAGGUCAUCGUGCUUCAGCCUCACUCUCUGCCUUCCGCAAGCUGUGUUCCGUGGGAUUUUUUAAAUACCUGAAUGCCUCUGGGAGAAACUCAGUGUUGGUGCCAUUUCGUAUCUGCACCUUCGGCUUUUCGUGACAUUACAGAGCUACAGCGAGGACAGAGAGUCUCAGAGAUGCCAGGACACCUUGAGGAGGUCGCCUCCAGCCCCCUGGUGACCACGUGGACGCCCACAAGUCUGUGCUGGAGGGGAGGGAGACACAGCACAGGCUACACGCAGCCUCUGGAGAAUUUCUUCACUAAAGGAGGUUUUUUCCUGAAAAACGUCAAGCUAUUUGUAGCCCAAGUCAGUUGAGCAGAUUUUUCUGGGUGUAGCUUAUUUUAUCACUCAUUAACUUCUUUUCUUUAUGAAUUAAAAAGUAGCAUUUUUUUUCCCACCCAGGAGCAUUUUAUUUACUUCUCUCGGUGCCACAACCAGCACUUUCUCUGCCUGCUGGGGAGGGAGACUCAGAUCCCACUCGAAGACGCCAUGGCCCCUAGGAUGUAGGCAUAGGUGGUGCGUCCAGAGCAGGCCCUACCACUCCACCCGUUCCUGACCUUGCACGUCCCUGUCACCCCUGCAG
RNAcentral lists this long non-coding RNA (2468 nucleotides) under Equus asinus (donkey). RNAcentral describes it as "lncRNA (ENSEASG00005036746.1)". The record is from RNAcentral. Lineage: Eukaryota; Metazoa; Chordata; Mammalia; Perissodactyla; Equidae.